This 485-nucleotide ribosomal RNA is filed under the name uncultured Methanosaeta sp. RNAcentral describes it as "bacterial SSU rRNA". It matches the Rfam family "Archaeal small subunit ribosomal RNA", at positions 852 to 1338 of the family's 1478-position model. Lineage: Archaea; Methanobacteriati; Methanobacteriota; Methanomicrobia; Methanotrichales; Methanotrichaceae. The record is from RNAcentral.
AAACUCAAAUGAAUUGACGGGGAGCACCACAACGGGUGGAGCUUGCGGUUUAAUUGGAUUCAACGCCGGAAAUCUUACCGGGACCGACAGCAAUAUGAAGGCCAGGCUGAAGACUUUGCCGGAUUAGCUGAGAGGUGGUGCAUGGCCGUCGUCAGUUCGUACUGUGAAGCAUCCUGUUAAGUCAGGCAACGAGCGAGACCCACGCCCACAGUUGCCAGCGUACUCUCUGGAGUGACGGGUACACUGUGGGACCGCCGCUGCUAAAGCGGAGGAAGGAAUGGGCAACGGUAGGUCAGUAUGCCCCGAAUAUCCCGGGCUACACGCGAGCUACAAUGGUUGGUACAAUGGGUAUCUACCCCGAAAGGGGACGGGAAUCUCCUAAAACCAAUCUUAGUUCGGAUUGUGGGCUGCAACUCGCCCACAUGAAGCUGGAAUCCGUAGUAAUCGCGUUUCAACAGAACGCGGUGAAUACGUCCCUGCUCCUU